AAAAUUCUGUAACUAACACUCUUGAGCAACUUGUUUGAGCCCACUCCCACUCUGUGGAGCAUAGUUUCAAUAAGUCUGUGCUUUCACUGCUUCAUUCUUUUGUUGUUUUGUGCAUUUUGUCCAAUUCUUUGUUCAAAAUGCCAAGAACCUGGAUGACUCAUAGUCAAGACCCCCCCGGGGAAGCAUUUUCUGUCUCUCUUUCCAACUCAGGACACUUGACAGAGAGCACCUAAGCAUGGAGGCAACUGCAGGUCUCUGGCUGGGGCCACUCUACGGAGAGACUGAAAGACCACUGUGGGCAACUCUCCAUCCAUUCCCUCUGAUUCCCUGCUUGGCUGCAUCAUCAACCACUGGAAUCAGUUGAACCCUGACAAUCUAAGGAGAAAACGUCUGAUUUUCUACUAUAAUACUGUAUAGCCCCAAUAUCAGCUGGACAGCCAGGAAUAAUUGGUGGUCAUGGGAAGUCUUAAUUACAACACCAUCCUGCAAUUAGACCUGUUUUGCAAAAGGCAGGGUAAAUUGUCAGAAAUCCCAUACGUACAGGUCUUCAUGGCCCUAUACCAAAACCCAACAAUCUGCAAAAGUCCUGGAACCUGCCCUGAAAAGGAAGGUCUUAAGGCAGAACUAGAUAUUGUAGAUGACCCCCUUUUACAAAGGCCACCUGUCUCUCAGAGGGAAGUGCAACCACCCCUGUAUAACUCCUUGCCAAGUGCUCCUGAGGCUCAAACCCAAGAGCAAAAUUCGGGGUUCCAGCUAAGUCCUCCUCAUAUUUGGAGAGAAACAAUCUCCCCCUCCAGCCCUGCUACCCCUUAGGGAAGUAGCAGGAGCUGAGGGGCCAGUCCUAGUGCAGUCCCCCUUUUCUAUAACUGAUAUAAAACAACAUACAGAAAAGCUAGGAAGCUAUUCUGAGAACCCUAGGAAUUUGGAGAUGGGUCCCAAACUUUGACCUUAGCCUUUGAUCUCUCAGGGGAGAUGUUCAAUUCAUUCUAGCAACCUAUUGCAGCCCCUUGGAAAAGAAACAAAUCUUUGAGGCUGCCCGCCAGGAAGCAGAUGACUUAUUUCCUUGAAACUCUCAGGGCAAUCACUUAGGCCCAGACAUAAUCUCCAUUACUGAUCCUAAUUGGGACUAUAACACACCCGAGGGAAUGAACCACCAGGCUAAGUUUCUUGAGGCUCUCCUUGGAGGAAGAGAAAGAGAAUAAGGCAGUAAAUUAUGAUAAGGUAAAGGAAGUUACACUGGGCAAGAAAGAAAAUCCAGCCAUGUUUCAUGGCAGACUGGAGGAAGCCUUUAAAAAAUAUACUAAUCCAAUCUGCCCCAGACAUUAGAUAUAAGCUCCAAAAGCUACAGAUGGGCCCACAAACUAAUCAAAAUCAGCUUCUUGAUAUUGCUUUCAUGAUGUAUAACAAUCAUGAAGGAAGGAAAAGGGGAACAGAGUAAAGAAAAAUGGCAAGCAAAAAUUAUGACAGCCAUCACUGGCAAUGCCCUGAAUGCCCAAAGAGCACGCAAAGGAAACCCAAAGGGCCAUAAGGACAAUGCCAGCCUGUAGAGGAUACAAGAUUUGUUAGUACUAAUAGACACCUGUAGGGAGCUGAAGGCCAGAGAGACAUGACCAACUCAGUAUUCCACUGGAGGUUAUAUGAUCAAACAGCAAACUUGUUUAUCAUGAAAGCAGGAUGUGGGCAAACUCAUGACUGUGCCUGCAACCAGGAGGUUUGCUGAGGGCAAUCACUCCCUGGCACCGUGCUCAUUGCGGUUACCUACUGGGACAUCUAGAGCCUAUUGUUCAAAGAAUGCGGUCUUGCAAGCCUGCUGUGAAUCAAACUGCCUGCUGACAACCACCCCCUCCUCUUCUCGCUAUCUCUUUUGCCUAAUAAAUACGGAGGGCUGUGUAAAGCUCAGGGCCCUUGUUCACUAGAAGCAAGGAGCCCCCUGACCCCUUCUUCCAAAUAU
Molecule: long non-coding RNA, 1951 nt
Filed under: Homo sapiens (human)
Lineage: Eukaryota; Metazoa; Chordata; Mammalia; Primates; Hominidae
Description: CACNA1B antisense RNA 1 (CACNA1B-AS1)
Source: RNAcentral